Molecule: ribosomal RNA, 221 nt
Filed under: Staphylococcus aureus
Lineage: Bacteria; Bacillati; Bacillota; Bacilli; Caryophanales; Staphylococcaceae
Description: partial 23S ribosomal RNA
Rfam family: Bacterial large subunit ribosomal RNA
Source: RNAcentral
AGAUUAAGUUAUUAAGGGCGCACGGUGGAUGCCUUGGCACUAGAAGCCGAUGAAGGACGUUACUAACGACGAUAUGCUUUGGGGAGCUGUAAGUAAGCUUUGAUCCAGAGAUUUCCGAAUGGGGAAACCCAGCAUGAGUUAUGUCAUGUUAUCGAUAUGUGAAUACAUAGCAUAUCAGAAGGCACACCCGGAGAACUGAAACAUCUUAGUACCCGGAGGAA